GCAGGCUUCUUAAGAAGCGGUGGAACCACUAGUCAUCGCUCGAUGGUUACCACUUGUUGAUCUUGAUCCCGCUUCCCGGAGCCAAGCCUGGAACUUCACCGGUCAGGCGCGUCUCGCUGGUUGGCACCUCCAAGCCGUUCUGAUCCGCUGUGGCCCGGGACCCCCGAACCUACCUGGACUCUCGUUUCCUCCUGACGUCCUCCAGUCUCAAUUCUCGAACCAUUGUUUGACCUCAUUAAAACAAACCCUCUUAACCGUAAAGUCUGUUCUUCUGUGAGCACCUGCAUGUGGGCAAGGAAAUUAAAAUCCAACAUGACAACUACUAAACAUGAACAAGUAUAAAGCGACAUAACUACUAAACAUGAA
Molecule: long non-coding RNA, 366 nt
Organism: Xiphophorus hellerii (green swordtail)
Lineage: Eukaryota; Metazoa; Chordata; Actinopteri; Cyprinodontiformes; Poeciliidae
Exons: 2
Source: RefSeq, a predicted model, not a curated record